This 253-nucleotide ribosomal RNA is filed under the name uncultured bacterium. RNAcentral's name for it is "partial 16S ribosomal RNA". It matches the Rfam family "Bacterial small subunit ribosomal RNA", at positions 524 to 776 of the family's 1533-position model. The record is from RNAcentral.
UACGGAGGGUGCAAGCGUUAAUCGGAAUUACUGGGCGUAAAGCGUGCGUAGGUGGUUGAUUAAGUUAUCUGUGAAAUCCCUGGGCUUAACCUGGGCAGGUCAGAUGAUACUGAUUGACUCGAGUAUGGGAGAGGGUAGUGGAAUUUCCGGUGUAGCGGUGAAAUGCGUAGAGAUCGGAAGGAACACCAGUGGCGAAGGCGGCUACCUGGCCUAAUACUGACGCUGAGACUCGAAAGCGUGGGGAGCAAACAGG